AGUGAACGCUGGCGGUAUGCCUAACACAUGCAAGUCGAACGGCAGCACAGUAGCUUCUUGCUGUUACCGGUUGCCAAUCGCGUACGUGUGACGUAUACAUCGGAACCUACUCUUUCGUGUGGGACUACGUAACUGGACUUACUCUAAUACCGCAUACGACCGACGGGUGUAAGGAGGGGAGCUUCGUACCUUGCGCGAUUGACUGAGCCGUUGCCGGGUUAGAUGGUUGGAGGGGUCAAGGGCCACCAAGGCGACGAGCCGUAGCUGGUGUGAGAGGAUGAUCGGCCACACUGGAACUGAGACACGGUCAAGACUCCUACGGGAGGGAGCAGUGGGGAACAGUGGGCAAUGGGAGCAAGCAUGAUCCAGCGAUAGGGCGUGGGUGAAGAAGGCCUUCGGGUUGGAAAGCCGUUUUGUUGGGAGAGAAAAGCAGCAGGUUAAGACCCAGCUGUUCUGACGGUACCCAAAGAAUAAGCACCGGCUAACUUCGUG
This 492-nucleotide ribosomal RNA is filed under the name uncultured bacterium. RNAcentral's name for it is "partial 16S ribosomal RNA". It matches the Rfam family "Bacterial small subunit ribosomal RNA", at positions 29 to 507 of the family's 1533-position model. The record is from RNAcentral.